This is a long non-coding RNA of Leptonychotes weddellii (Weddell seal), 863 nucleotides long. RefSeq lists it as uncharacterized. The record is from RefSeq and is a predicted model, not a curated record. Lineage: Eukaryota; Metazoa; Chordata; Mammalia; Carnivora; Phocidae.
GCUUGCGGGAGGCGGAGCGAGCCACAAAGAGGGUACUCAUACCCAGGGGAUGGGGUGGCAAGAGGAAUGAGGAAAUCGUGGCGAGGUGCGAAGAGCAGUGCAGAACUUUUCGUAUCCCUAAACCAAUCCGCACUUUGAUUUAGCUCGGCUGGCAUGUGGAGAGGCUAAUACUCAUCACCGGCCCCUCGUGUGAGGACCUGGAAGAAUUACCGAUGGUAACAAAGUGAGUUCAUGGCUACUGUCCGGUCAAGCAGAUGAACAUCCAAGAUACCAGGAGAGAACAAGAUUCCCUGAGACUCUGGAAUGUAGCUGAAGACAUUGUGACGUGUGUCCUACUCUGCAGCCUGGUAGAAGGGCAAAGAAGGAAUUAGUACUAAAGGAGAGAAAAGCAGGGCCCUGGGGCCUAUGGAAAAGAAAGGAGAGGAUUCUUGGGAAGCUGGUGGUGGCCUGAGAAAGGACUGUAAGGUGGUGGAGAGUGACCCAUGUUCCUGGAAGAUGAAGCACUCCACAAAAAACGACUCAAACAGCUACCAAGUUAUGGCAGCUCUGGCUCAGGCUCCAUCACUCAUCUGUGAUCAACAUUUUCAUCUCUUGGGGCUAUGAAGGCUGCCUUUUUCAUUGGGCCUUCAUAUAUUUGUGCAAUAAGUGAGAGUGUUGGGCUUUGAAGUCUGAUAUCCCCUGACAGAAGUUGAAAGGAUCUACAUGGAUCCAAAAGGAUGCAUACCUUUCAAUCCAUUCUGAAACAUUGUCUAACAUACCCUCCAAAUUAUUACUUCAUUCUCUAGAAAGAUGAACCUUUAUUUAACUUCUUUCAUGGUUAAUACAAAAGUAAUAUACUUGUUCAUUAUAAAUUUUGCAGAUAA